GUCGUUAUUGUUUUCCCACUGUAGCUCUCCUCACUCCCUACCUACACGCCGAUCCGGAGCGGAAGGCGGGGGCCCGUCCGUAGCACGCCUCAGCAGCGGCGCACGCUUACUGGGAAUAAUAGGUGGAGAAAGCGCACGAGGUCACACUGUUGGACGUCAACCUGUCCUCAACCCUUUUUCGUGUCGUGAUCACGCCUUCGAGAGCAGCACUUCACUCUCCUUUCAGCUCCACAUGCAGCUGCAAAGCCUCAAGGCAUUAAGCGAGGCAAGCAAGGACGAGCCGCACCAUAGAUGGUGUUGUCACGCAAAUGAUGCGUGGUAUAAUGCCGUCCACGCCGAUGGCGAAGCCGACGUCUCUGACGCACAGAUGCCUGACGUGGAGGCCGCGCUGGAGGGAAUGCUCAGCGACGCGUCACCACUGUGUGCGGACAUGCUGCAGUGCGUCCUGCGCCACGCCAACGUGACGCUCAAUCCUAACGACGCAGAGUUCCCCGGCCCGAUGUGCACGCCUCUCUGCAAGAAAGACACCGCUCGCCUGCGUCAGCAUGGGUACACGGUCACGGAGAAGAGCGACGGUAUUCGCGUAGUGGUGGUUUCCAUGUGGGCGCCUCGUUUUCCCGCAUGGGUGGCGGACAGUGCAGCCGACGCCGUCUCGGCAUCGGUGAAUCUCUCUCAUCUCGCAAGCGUCUUGGCUUUGGAGCGCGCACGCCGUGCGCUGCGCCGGUAUGCCGGUCAGGGCGAAGACGCCGCCUUUCGCGAGACCCUCUCCCUUGGAGGGCGGAGCUGCACACUCGAGCUGUUCUCCGCUCUCGAGCCGUGCGAGUCGGAGUGUUUUACGCUGAGAGUGGCGACUGCCGCGGAUGACGCCUCGCCGUCCGCAUUGGUGACGUUGCGCCGCCACCGGCGUGGACGUCAUUUCGCCUACGCAGUGGACCGCUCGCUUGACGCCGCUUACCUCUUCAUGGAUGAUCACACGACUCUCCAGUACCACACCUUUGUGCUGGAUGCGGAGCUCAUGUCGGUGCACCGGUCUGCGACUUCCUCGCCUGCCGUGCCUCGCUUGGUACUUGGGGCAUUCGACCUCUUCGCUUACGCGGGAGCAGCCGACAAUGUCUUGGUGAACAUGGCAAAGCGCUCCAUGGUGGAGCGAUACGACGCGCUCAAGGCGGUGGUGCACACAUGCGCGUUGCCCGUCACCACCGAUGAAUGCGGCUACGUAUCCUGGUACGUCAAGGACAUGUGGGCACUGGCUGACAUUGGUGCCUGUCUGGCAAAGCUUCGCUACAGCGCCGAGUCACAGUGCUUCCUCUACGACGGUCCUCACGGCCCGACGGAAAACGAUGGCCUCAUCUUCACCCCAGACGAGUUCCCUGUGGUUGUGGGCUCCAGCAGCGUGCAGCUAAAGUGGAAAUGGCAGCACCUUCUGUCCAUCGACUGGCUUCUCCAGGCGUCUGACAAACAGCCGGACAUGUACACCGUGUCUCUGUUUUUCGUCAAGAAGAACUACGGUCAUCGCGAAGACGUGGCGGGACACUGGCGGUUGCGCAAGCCGAUGCACAUCCUGAACCCGCACGGCUUCGAAAUGCCGGUGGACGCGGCCGUCGUAGCCGAGUGCGCCUACGAUGAGGCAACGCAGCGGUGGUACAUCCAGCGCCUAAGACCUGACAAACUCGGCGCCAAUUCCAUCAUCACCGCCAUCUCGGUGUACGAGAGUCUCGUGGAGAACAUCUCCCUUCCCCACCUGCUCGAGCUACUGCAGGUGGACGCGGAGAAAGCGAAGGGGCAAGCCGACGCCCUCGAGUCUGCGGCCCGCGCACGCGUCGGUACCCUGUCCAAGGCACUCGAGACGGUCUCGAGCGCCUUGGACGCAGCCGAGGCCGAGAAGUGCGUUACGGCCAAGUUAGCGCUGCGCGCCAUUCGCGAGAGUCGCGGAAACGCAGAGCUUUACCUCAUCGCCUACACAAACAACACAAACAAGACAGUCAUGUAUCCGCUGCCCUUUCCUCUUCGCAAGAUACGCGACUGCAUCGGGCUCGGCUAUCACCCCGGCAUCCGCGACGACACACCCGUGCCGAGUCUCGAGGAGGUGCUUUACAUUCAGCUCGCGAACGCUGGCGGGUGCUAUGCGUGGUCGGACUACGUUGUCGACGCCUUCUACGACGGCGACAGUGGCUACUGGGAGAUCAUACACGCCGACCCCCGCGGGAACAACAAGGAAGCCAUCUUCGACAACGUCAUCGAGCACCUUGACUGGCUCCUGCGGCACCGCACGGCGCCGGAGGCGGCGACUCUAUUGGAGCGGAAGAGGGACGCGCCGCUGGUGUUAAGCCGCCCGCCCAGCUCCGAAGCAACUCAGCAGACGAGCAGGCACUACGGCACUGUCGCGAAGGAGCUGGCGAAUGAAGAGCGCAGUGACCUUCGCCGCUUCAACAACUGGGUGAAAUCUGUGCUGCUCACUACAAUGGCAGCGGCCAUCCGGCGCACGCUCAAGCCACUGGCAAAGCUACAUGUGUUGGAUCUCUGCUGCGGUCGUGGUGGCGACCUGCUCAAGUGGCAGCACAUCCGCCCUGCCUUUCUCUUCAUGACGGACGCCUCGGUCGAGUGCGUUGCGGAGGCGGCCGCCCGCUACAGCACAUCCGAGGGACAGAGCGUGAAGGUGGCCAACGGAAAGCAGAAGGGGUUCCCGGCGUUCUUUGCUGUGCACGACGCUUUCGACGCGGCCUCCGGACUGCGCGAGGACCUAUUGAAGCGGGGGCCAUUCCAGCUCACCUCGUGCCAGUUCUCGAUGCACUACGGGUGUCGGUCGAAGGAGAGCAUGCGGUACUUUGUCAAGGCCAUCGCGGACUCGUUGGUGCCGCACGGCCGCUUUGUCGGCACCACCGUGAGCGAUGUAGAGCUCCUUUACCGCGCCAAGGAACACGGCGCCGAAUUUGGCAACGACGUGUACGGUGUGCGCUUCGGCGCUGAAGCGUUUGCGCAGCUGCAGUCCGCAAACUUCGAGCCUGCCGCGCUGUCUUUUGGAGUACCGUACACGGCGACGGUAGAGCGCAGUGUGAAGGACAUGACGGAGUACGUGGUGCCGUGGGACGCCUUCGUAGCACUCUGCGCGGAGCACCAGCUCAAGCUCGUGCUUGAGGACAACUUCAUCCACUAUUAUGGCCAGCACAAGGACACAGAGGCUGGCAAAGCGAUGACGCUGGAGCAGCGCCGCAAACGCCACAACGACGGCGGCGUCGUAGACUGCCCGCUCUCGCCCAGCGAGCAAGCCGCGGUGGGACUCUAUCGGCUAUUUGUCUUUGAAAAGACAAAGGCGAAACAGUGCAGCUUCGGAACGGCGGAGAGAAAACAAGGCAGAUGCUCUGACUGAAGCGGAAGAGGGGUUUUCUCGCUCUGCAGUGGCGCUGUCGUUGGGCCGGUGCGGUCUCUCGAGCACCUCUUCUCCGCUCCUCAUCACGUGAUCCGUCGAGGGGGGGGGCGGCGGCGAGGAGGCUGCUAAAGAAGAGAAGAUGCACGUUUUGUCACAGAUGCAACACGAACAUUAAAAGUCAGUAAUCGCUCGAAACUGCAGCGACUGGUAAACGCAGGGUGACGGCUGAGCGUGCGACUGGGUCUCUCUGUGUGUUACUCUCACCUUUUCU
RNAcentral lists this unclassified non-coding RNA (3638 nucleotides) under Leishmania donovani. Its description in RNAcentral is "gene:LdHU3.22.0140(CDS-product:RNA_capping_enzyme _nuclear)". Lineage: Eukaryota; Euglenozoa; Kinetoplastea; Trypanosomatida; Trypanosomatidae. The record is from RNAcentral.